GAUGAACGCUGGCGGCGUGCCUAAUACAUGCAAGUCGAGCGAACGGACGAGAAGCUUGCUUCUCUGAUGUUAGCGGCGGACGGGUGAGUAACACGUGGAUAACCUACCUAUAAGACUGGGAUAACUUCGGGAAACCGUAGCUAAUACCGGAUAAUAUUUUGAACCGCAUGGUUCAAAAGUGAAAGACGGUCUUGCUGUCACUUAUAGAUGGAUCCGCGCUGUAUUAGCUAGUUGGUAAGGUAACGGCUUACCAAGGCAACGAUGCAUAGCCGACCUGAGAGGGUGAUCGGCCACACUGGAACUGAAACACGGUCCAGACUCCUACGGGAGGCAGCAGUAGGGAAUCUUCCGCAAUGGGCGAAAGCCUGACGGAGCAACGCCGCGUGAGUGAUGAAGGUCUUCGGAUCGUAAAACUCUGUUAUUAGGGAAGAACAUAUGUGUAAGUAACUGUGCACAUCUUGACGGUACCUAAUCAGAAAGCCACGGCUAACUACGUG
Molecule: ribosomal RNA, 497 nt
Filed under: uncultured bacterium
Lineage: Bacteria
Description: partial 16S ribosomal RNA
Rfam family: Bacterial small subunit ribosomal RNA
Source: RNAcentral